This 92-nucleotide transfer RNA is filed under the name Oscillospiraceae bacterium. Its description in RNAcentral is "tRNA-Ser". It matches the Rfam family "tRNA". From Rfam's summary of the family: Transfer RNA (tRNA) molecules are approximately 80 nucleotides in length. Lineage: Bacteria; Bacillati; Bacillota; Clostridia; Eubacteriales; Oscillospiraceae. The record is from RNAcentral.
GCAGAAGUACUCAAGUUGGCCGAAGAGGCGCCCCUGCUAAGGGUGUAGGGCGGGAGACCGUCGCGAGGGUUCAAAUCCCUCCUUCUGCGCCA